UGGUGUAAAUCUGGAGUGGAUC
This 22-nucleotide microRNA is filed under the name Chrysemys picta (Painted turtle). Its description in RNAcentral is "cpi-miR-9593-5p". The record is from miRBase by way of RNAcentral. Lineage: Eukaryota; Metazoa; Chordata; Testudines; Emydidae.